Molecule: ribosomal RNA, 253 nt
Filed under: uncultured bacterium
Lineage: Bacteria
Description: partial 16S ribosomal RNA
Rfam family: Bacterial small subunit ribosomal RNA
Source: RNAcentral
UACAGAGGGGGCAAGCGUUAUUCGGAAUUAUUGGGCGUAAAGGGCGCGUAGGCGGCUUGGCAAGUGGAUGGUGAAAUCCCUCGGCUUAACCGAGGAACUGCCGUCCAAACUGCUUCGCUUGAGACCGGGAGAGGUGAGUGGAAUUCCCAGUGUAGCGGUGAAAUUCGUAGAUAUUCGGAAGAACACCAGUGGCGAAGGCGGCUCACUGGACCGGCAUUGACGCUGAGGUGCGAAAGCGUGGGGAGCAAACAGG